RNAcentral lists this ribosomal RNA (207 nucleotides) under uncultured bacterium. RNAcentral describes it as "partial 16S ribosomal RNA". It matches the Rfam family "Bacterial small subunit ribosomal RNA", at positions 568 to 774 of the family's 1533-position model. The record is from RNAcentral.
CGCGUAGGUGGUUAGGUAAGCGAGAUGUGAAAGCCCCGGGCUUAACCUGGGAACGGCAUUUCGAACUGUCUGACUAGAGUAUGGUAGAGGGUAGUGGAGUUUCCUGUGUAGCGGUGAAAUGCGUAGAUAUAGGAAGGAACACCAGUGGCGAAGGCGGCUACCUGGACCAAUACUGACACUGAGGUGCGAAAGCGUGGGGAGCAAACA